RNAcentral lists this ribosomal RNA (792 nucleotides) under uncultured Escherichia sp. RNAcentral's name for it is "bacterial SSU rRNA". It matches the Rfam family "Bacterial small subunit ribosomal RNA", at positions 44 to 834 of the family's 1533-position model. The record is from RNAcentral. Lineage: Bacteria; Pseudomonadati; Pseudomonadota; Gammaproteobacteria; Enterobacterales; Enterobacteriaceae.
AAAUUACUGGCUUUAGUAAGUCGAGCGGUAGCACGAAGGAGCUUGCUUCUUUGCUGAAGAGUGGCGGACGGGUGAGUAAUGUCUGGGAAACUGCCUGAUGGAGUUAAAUAACUACUGGAAACGGUAGCUAAUACCGCAUAACGUCGCAAGACCAUUGAGGGGGACCUUUUAAUUCCUCUUGCCAUAAAUUCGGAUGUGCCCAGAUGGUAUUAGGUUGUUGGUGGGGUAACGGCUCACCUAGGCGACGAUCCCUAGCUGGUCUGAGAGGAUGACCGGGCACACUGGAACUGAGACACGGUCCAUACUCCUACGGGAGGGAUCAAAAGGGAAUAUUGCACAAUGGGCGCAAGCCUGAUGCAGCCAUGCCGCGUGUAUGAAGAAGGGCUUCGGGUUGUAUAGUACUUUCAUUACCGAUAAGGCCCUAAGGGAGUAAUAUUUAGAAUACCUUUGCUCAUUGACGUUACCCGCAGAAUAAGCACCUGCUAACUCCCUGCCAGCUGCCGCGGUAAUACGGAGGGUGCAAGCGUUCUUCGUAAUUACUGUGCGUAGAGGGCACGCAGGCGGGGGGUUAAGUCGGAUGUGAUAUCCCCGGGCUCAACCUGGGAACUGCAUCUGAUACUGGCAAGCUUGAGUCUCGUAGAGGGUUUUAGAAUUCCGUGAAAUUCCAAGGGGUGAAAUGCAUAUAGAUCUGGAGGAAUACCGGUGGCGAAGGCUGCCCCCCGGACGAAGACUGACGCUCAUGUGCGAAAGCGUGGAUCAGCAUACUAUAAAUUCUAUACCCUGGGGAAAUAC